This is a long non-coding RNA of Octopus sinensis (East Asian common octopus), 258 nucleotides long. RefSeq lists it as uncharacterized. NCBI's taxonomy places the organism in Eukaryota, Metazoa, Mollusca, Cephalopoda, Octopoda, Octopodidae. The transcript has 3 exons. The record is from RefSeq and is a predicted model, not a curated record.
GUUCAGGAAAGGAAACUGCAAUCUUAUGAUCAUGAGUCCAGCACCCUAACCAUUAAGCCAUUUGCCUUCACUAGAGUGCAGAAAAUGGUGAGGCCAGUUGAGGGUGUGGUUGGCCGUGGGUAUCAGUUGAGGUGAGGGUGUGUAGGAUUAGGUCAGAGGUGUUUAGUAAAUAUUUUGUGUGAUUCAACCCUCCAAAAAGUCUAAAAUUUUUCUUCUUCCUUUGUUCUCAGUCUUAUAUUGUUUUUUUUUCUAUUUUUU